AUGAACUGCAAGGCCGGCGACCGACGGUGCCAGCUAGACGCCCCCACCAUGCCCGUGUUCCUCGGCCCUCCCUGUGGCGGAGCGGGGCCACGACGGCUGCGGGAUCUGGCUGCAGUGCCGGCGCGCGGAGGUGCUCCGGCGGCGGUGCGAGAAGGCGCUCCGGCGACGUCACGGACGCGGCGGCAGCGUCAGCCCGAAGCUCGGCGGCGAUGUGGCAGGACUGCAAGAGGCGAUGGGCCGACGGCCCUUGAGUUUGACAGUGGUGUCUCCGGUGAAAGGCGGCGGCUGCGGAGCUUGCUUUGGUUGCUGAUACGAGGAAAAACGACGGAAGGAGCAGUGUUUUGGAAACAGGCGGAUUACCAGCGGAUUACAACUGUAACCCGUUGCGCCAGCCCUUCCCAGUUAUUAUCGGCCCGGCCCAACUGGGACCAAAUCUUCUUGUUCCUUUCCCGCACGACAUAUAUAUUCCCCCCACUCUUCUUCUCACCUGCUCACCUUCCCUCCACCCCGUUCAAACAAACGAAAAAAAAGGAAAACCUUCUCCACCAUUCCAUAGAUCUGCAAACCCUAAACCCUAGAGCAUCUGUCCGCUGGUCGACCUGCCAAGCCAUGUGGCCCUUCUCCAAGUCCAAGCAGCCGCUCCCGCUGAUCCGCUGCCCGGUCUGCGAUGUAGGCCUCGUCAAGCGGUUCGUCUCCAGGACGGCCAAGAAUCCGGGGCGCCCGUUCUACAGAUGCGAGUACCAGGGAAAGGGGGGCUGCAGCUUCUGGAAGUGGGAGGAGGAGUACGCCGCCUACCUCCGGGCGCGCUGGGGCCACAUCACCUCGGUGCCCGCCGUCGCCGCCGGGCCCGCCGAGCGCUAA
This 861-nucleotide ribosomal RNA is filed under the name Triticum aestivum (bread wheat). RNAcentral's name for it is "partial small subunit ribosomal RNA". Lineage: Eukaryota; Viridiplantae; Streptophyta; Magnoliopsida; Poales; Poaceae. The record is from RNAcentral.